GAAAUGCGAUAAGUAAUGUGAAUUGCAGAAUUCAGUGAAUCAUCGAAUCUUUGAACGCACAUUGCGCCCGCCAGUAUUCUGGCGGGCAUGCCUGUUCGAGCGUCAUUACAACCCUCAGGCCCCCGGGCCUGGCGUUGGGGAUCGGCGGAAGCCCCCUGCGGGCACAACGCCGUCCCCCAAAUACAGUGGCGGUCCCGCCGCAGCUUCCAUUGCGUAGUAGCUAAUACCUCGCAACUGGAGAGCGGCGCGGCCACGCCGUAAAACACCCAACUUCUGAAUGUUGACCUCGAAUCAGGUAGGAAUACCCGCUGAACUUAAGC
This 320-nucleotide unclassified non-coding RNA is filed under the name plant metagenome. RNAcentral describes it as "partial contains 5.8S ribosomal RNA, internal transcribed spacer 2, and large subunit ribosomal RNA". The stretch from base 1 to 105 matches the Rfam family "5.8S ribosomal RNA", at positions 50 to 154 of the family's 154-position model. The record is from RNAcentral.